Molecule: ribosomal RNA, 113 nt
Filed under: Acremonium sp.
Lineage: Eukaryota; Fungi; Ascomycota; Sordariomycetes; Hypocreales; Bionectriaceae
Description: partial small subunit ribosomal RNA
Rfam family: Eukaryotic small subunit ribosomal RNA
Source: RNAcentral
UAACUAGUCCGUAUUACCCCGGUAGUACGCCGACUUCUUAGAGGGACUAUCGGCUCAAGCCGAUGGAAGUUUGAGGCAAUAACAGGUCUGUGAUGCCCUUAGAUGUUCUGGGC